This 749-nucleotide ribosomal RNA is filed under the name Heteranthus verruculatus. Its description in RNAcentral is "partial small subunit ribosomal RNA". It matches the Rfam family "Bacterial small subunit ribosomal RNA", at positions 455 to 1428 of the family's 1533-position model. Lineage: Eukaryota; Metazoa; Cnidaria; Anthozoa; Actiniaria; Phymanthidae. The record is from RNAcentral.
UAAACGAAAGUAUGACACAGAGAGGACACAUUUAAUUGAGCCCGUCAAAUUAAGUGCCAGCCGACGCGGUUAAACUUAAGGGCUGGUCUUUAUAAGUAAAAAGGCGUAAAGGAUGUGUAGGCCAAGAAACGAUCCAAGUAGGUAAAUGGAAUUUUUCUGGAGCGGUAGAAUGUGAGGAUAGAAAAUAGAACCCCUAAGGUAAAAACUAUUUACUACAAGGUAGGCUGAAACAUGAGAGUGUGGGGAGCAAACAGGAUUAGAGACCCUGGUAGUCCACACUGUGAACUUUGAAGAUGAUGCUUAGCAGACCCGAAAGGUAAAAUCUUCCGCCUGAGUAGUACGAUCGCAAGAUUAAAAUUCAAAAACUUUGGCUGUUCACUAUUUCGAUUAGAGGAGCGUGUAGUUUAAUUCGAUGGUCCGCGUGUUACCUUACCCCAACUUGAAUCUGUGACCGGUAUUGCAUGGCCGUCGUAAGUUCGUGUAUUAAGCUAGAAGGGACCCAACCCGGGCACUUGCCCGGAGGAAGUCAGGUCUUAUGAUCCGAAUGUUGGGGGAUUUUAUGCGCUACAUUUUCUUAUAUAAUGAGAAACCUGGAAGGUGAAUCUCUAAAGUAAGAGUUCGGAAGGUCGCUGUAAGACGACUGGAAGUUGGAUUUAAUAGUAAUCGGAAAGUAGGGCGUUCCGGUGAAUUGGUACAAGUGUUAGCACAAAUUGCCCGUCACCUUUACUUAGAAUGGUUAUUCGGAUGUC